AGUAAGUUUGAUUCUUGCUUAGAAAUUAGUUUUUUCAUUUAAUUAUAUGGAUAAUUUUGUGUAAAUAUUUAUUUUCCAGUAAUAAGAUUUAAUAAAUAUAUUUAUAUAUAAAUUAGGAAUUGAAUAUUUAAUAGAUAAAAAUUUGUGCCAGCAUUCGCGGUUAAACAAUUUAUUAAUAUUAAUUUUAUAAGUUAACUCAAUUUUUAAUUGUUAAUGGAUUAAAAUUUUCUUAUUUAGGUGGAAUUUAUAAGUUUACAAAUUUUCUUACUAAAAAAUAUGUGAAUUUAUUUUAAUAGACUAGGAUUAGAUACCCUAUUAUUGAUAAUGUAAAAUUUUAAACUUGAAUGGUAUUAGUUAAGUUCUUAGAAGCUCAAAGAAUUUGGCGGUAAAAUAUCUUUUUAGAGGAACCUGUGAGUUAAUUGAUAAACCACGAUAGUUCUUACUUUACUUUUAUUUGUAUAUCGCUAUACUUCUGAGUGUUUUGAAAAGAUAUUCUCUUUAACUUAUAAAGUUUUAUAUUAGGUCAAGGUGCAGUUUUUGUAAAGAUCUUGUGGGUUACUUUUUUAAUAAUUUAUGAAGAUAAUUUUCUGUUUAGAUUAUUUGAAUAGGGAUUUAAUAGUAAAUUUAAUUAAUUAAUUAAAUUGAAUUUUGCUCUAUUUUAUGUACAUAUCGCCCGUCACUCCUAAUUUAAGUUAGGAUAAGUCGUAACAAAGUAACCUCACCGGAAGGUUAGGUUAGAAUGAU
Molecule: non-coding RNA, 744 nt
Filed under: Paramacrosteles nigromaculatus
Lineage: Eukaryota; Metazoa; Arthropoda; Insecta; Hemiptera; Cicadellidae
Source: RNAcentral